GGGUUGUGAGGUUAAGCGACUAAGCGUACACGGUGGAUGCCCUGGCAGUCAGAGGCGAUGAAGGACGUGCUAAUCUGCGAUAAGCGUCGGUAAGGUGAUAUGAACCGUUAUAACCGGCGAUUUCCGAAUGGGGAAACCCAGUGUGUUUCGACACACUAUCAUUAACUGAAUCCAUAGGUUAAUGAGGCGAACCGGGGGAACUGAAACAUCUAAGUACCCCGAGGAAAAGAAAUCAACCGAGAUUCCCCCAGUAGCGGCGAGCGAACGGGGAGCAGCCCAGAGCCUGAAUCAGUGUGUGUGUUAGUGGAAGCGUCUGGAAAGGCGCGCGAUACAGGGUGACAGCCCCGUACACAAAAAUGCACAUGCUGUGAGCUCGAUGAGUAGGGCGGGACACGUGGUAUCCUGUCUGAAUAUGGGGGGACCAUCCUCCAAGGCUAAAUACUCCUGACUGACCGAUAGUGAACCAGUACCGUGAGGGAAAGGCGAAAAGAACCCCGGCGAGGGGAGUGAAAAAGAACCUGAAACCGUGUACGUACAAGCAGUGGGAGCACGCUUAGGCGUGUGACUGCGUACCUUUUGUAUAAUGGGUCAGCGACUUAUAUUCUGUAGCAAGGUUAACCGAAUAGGGGAGCCGAAGGGAAACCGAGUCUUAACUGGGCGUUAAGUUGCAGGGUAUAGACCCGAAACCCGGUGAUCUAGCCAUGGGCAGGUUGAAGGUUGGGUAACACUAACUGGAGGACCGAACCGACUAAUGUUGAAAAAUUAGCGGAUGACUUGUGGCUGGGGGUGAAAGGCCAAUCAAACCGGGAGAUAGCUGGUUCUCCCCGAAAGCUAUUUAGGUAGCGCCUCGUGAAUUCAUCUCCGGGGGUAGAGCACUGUUUCGGCAAGGGGGUCAUCCCGACUUACCAACCCGAUGCAAACUGCGAAUACCGGAGAAUGUUAUCACGGGAGACACACGGCGGGUGCUAACGUCCGUCGUGAAGAGGGAAACAACCCAGACCGCCAGCUAAGGUCCCAAAGUCAUGGUUAAGUGGGAAACGAUGUGGGAAGGCCCAGACAGCCAGGAUGUUGGCUUAGAAGCAGCCAUCAUUUAAAGAAAGCGUAAUAGCUCACUGGUCGAGUCGGCCUGCGCGGAAGAUGUAACGGGGCUAAACCAUGCACCGAAGCUGCGGCAGCGACGCUGAUGCGUUGUUGGGUAGGGGAGCGUUCUGUAAGCCUGUGAAGGUGUGCUGUGAGGCAUGCUGGAGGUAUCAGAAGUGCGAAUGCUGACAUAAGUAACGAUAAAGCGGGUGAAAAGCCCGCUCGCCGGAAGACCAAGGGUUCCUGUCCAACGUUAAUCGGGGCAGGGUGAGUCGACCCCUAAGGCGAGGCCGAAAGGCGUAGUCGAUGGGAAACAGGUUAAUAUUCCUGUACUUGGUGUUACUGCGAAGGGGGGACGGAGAAGGCUAUGUUGGCCGGGCGACGGUUGUCCCGGUUUAAGCGUGUAGGCUGGUUUUCCAGGCAAAUCCGGAAAAUCAAGGCUGAGGCGUGAUGACGAGGCACUACGGUGCUGAAGCAACAAAUGCCCUGCUUCCAGGAAAAGCCUCUAAGCAUCAGGUAACAUCAAAUCGUACCCCAAACCGACACAGGUGGUCAGGUAGAGAAUACCAAGGCGCUUGAGAGAACUCGGGUGAAGGAACUAGGCAAAAUGGUGCCGUAACUUCGGGAGAAGGCACGCUGAUAUGUAGGUGAAGUCCCUCGCGGAUGGAGCUGAAAUCAGUCGAAGAUACCAGCUGGCUGCAACUGUUUAUUAAAAACACAGCACUGUGCAAACACGAAAGUGGACGUAUACGGUGUGACGCCUGCCCGGUGCCGGAAGGUUAAUUGAUGGGGUCAGCGCAAGCGAAGCUCUUGAUCGAAGCCCCGGUAAACGGCGGCCGUAACUAUAACGGUCCUAAGGUAGCGAAAUUCCUUGUCGGGUAAGUUCCGACCUGCACGAAUGGCGUAAUGAUGGCCAGGCUGUCUCCACCCGAGACUCAGUGAAAUUGAACUCGCUGUGAAGAUGCAGUGUACCCGCGGCAAGACGGAAAGACCCCGUGAACCUUUACUAUAGCUUGACACUGAACAUUGAGCCUUGAUGUGUAGGAUAGGUGGGAGGCUUGGAAGUGUGGACGCCAGUCUGCAUGGAGCCGACCUUGAAAUACCACCCUUUAAUGUUUGAUGUUCUAACGUUGACCCGUAAUCCGGGUUGCGGACAGUGUCUGGUGGGUAGUUUGACUGGGGCGGUCUCCUCCUAAAGAGUAACGGAGGAGCACGAAGGUUGGCUAAUCCUGGUCGGACAUCAGGAGGUUAGUGCAAUGGCAUAAGCCAGCUUGACUGCGAGCGUGACGGCGCGAGCAGGUGCGAAAGCAGGUCAUAGUGAUCCGGUGGUUCUGAAUGGAAGGGCCAUCGCUCAACGGAUAAAAGGUACUCCGGGGAUAACAGGCUGAUACCGCCCAAGAGUUCAUAUCGACGGCGGUGUUUGGCACCUCGAUGUCGGCUCAUCACAUCCUGGGGCUGAAGUAGGUCCCAAGGGUAUGGCUGUUCGCCAUUUAAAGUGGUACGCGAGCUGGGUUUAGAACGUCGUGAGACAGUUCGGUCCCUAUCUGCCGUGGGCGCUGGAGAACUGAGGGGGGCUGCUCCUAGUACGAGAGGACCGGAGUGGACGCAUCACUGGUGUUCGGGUUGUCAUGCCAAUGGCACUGCCCGGUAGCUAAAUGCGGAAGAGAUAAGUGCUGAAAGCAUCUAAGCACGAAACUUGCCCCGAGAUGAGUUCUCCCUGACCCUUUAAGGGUCCUGAAGGAACGUUGAAGACGACGACGUUGAUAGGCCGGGUGUGUAAGCGCAGCGAUGCGUUGAGCUAACCGGUACUAAUGAACCGUGAGGCUUAACCUUACAACGCCGAAG
Molecule: ribosomal RNA, 2925 nt
Filed under: Escherichia coli
Lineage: Bacteria; Pseudomonadati; Pseudomonadota; Gammaproteobacteria; Enterobacterales; Enterobacteriaceae
Description: bacterial LSU rRNA
Rfam family: Bacterial large subunit ribosomal RNA
Source: RNAcentral